CAACCCUUGACAUGGGAGUCGCGGAUCCAGAGAUGGUUCUUUCAGUUCGGCUGGACUCCACACAGGUGCUGCAUGGCUGUCGUCAGCUCGUGUCGUGAGAUGUUCGGUUAAGUCCGGCAACGAGCGCAACCCACACUCUUAGUUGCCAGCAUUCAGUUGGGCACUCUAGGAGAACUGCCGGUGAUAAGCCGGAGGAAGGUGUGGAUGACGUCAAGUCCUCAUGGCCCUUACGGGUUGGGCUACACACGUGCUACAAUGGUGGUGACAAUGGGUUAAUCCCAAAAAGCCAUCUCAGUUCGGAUUGGGGUCUGCAACUCGACCCCAUGAAGUCGGAAUCGCUAGUAAUCGCGUAACAGCAUGACGCGGU
RNAcentral lists this ribosomal RNA (367 nucleotides) under uncultured Pseudomonadota bacterium. Its description in RNAcentral is "bacterial SSU rRNA". It matches the Rfam family "Bacterial small subunit ribosomal RNA", at positions 975 to 1363 of the family's 1533-position model. Lineage: Bacteria; Pseudomonadati; Pseudomonadota. The record is from RNAcentral.